Molecule: ribosomal RNA, 507 nt
Filed under: uncultured Rhodococcus sp.
Lineage: Bacteria; Bacillati; Actinomycetota; Actinomycetes; Mycobacteriales; Nocardiaceae
Description: bacterial SSU rRNA
Rfam family: Bacterial small subunit ribosomal RNA
Source: RNAcentral
GUGCCAGCAGCCGCGGUAAUACGUAGGGUGCAAGCGUUGUCCGGAAUUACUGGGCGUAAAGAGUUCGUAGGCGGUUUGUCGCGUCGUUUGUGAAAACCAGCAGCUCAGCUGCUGGCUUGCAGGCGAUACGGGCAGACUUGAGUACUGCAGGGGAGACUGGAAUUCCUGGUGUAGCGGUGAAAUGCGCAGAUAUCAGGAGGAACACCGGUGGCGAAGGCGGGUCUCUGGGCAGUAACUGACGCUGAGGAACGAAAGCGUGGGUAGCGAACAGGAUUAGAUACCCUGGUAGUCCACGCCGUAGACGGUGGGCGCUAGGUGUGGGUUCCUUCCACGGAAUCCGUGCCGUAGCUAACGCAUUAAGCGCCCCGCCUGGGGAGUACGGCCGCAAGGCUAAAACUCAAAGGAAUUGACGGGGGCCCGCACAAGCGGCGGAGCAUGUGGAUUAAUCCGAUGCAACGCGAANAACCUUACCUGGGUUUGACNUAUACCGNAAANCUGCAAANNNGU